Molecule: transfer RNA, 84 nt
Filed under: bacterium
Lineage: Bacteria
Also listed under: 1 other name
Description: tRNA-Leu
Rfam family: tRNA
About the family: Transfer RNA (tRNA) molecules are approximately 80 nucleotides in length. Their secondary structure includes four short double-helical elements and three loops (D, anti-codon, and T loops).
Source: RNAcentral
GCGAGAGUGGCGGAACUGGCAGACGCGCUAGAUUUAGGAUCUAGUGCCCCUAGCGGCGUGUGGGUUCGAAUCCCUCCUCUCGUA